This 1510-nucleotide ribosomal RNA is filed under the name Escherichia coli. Its description in RNAcentral is "partial 23S ribosomal RNA". It matches the Rfam family "Bacterial large subunit ribosomal RNA", at positions 375 to 1875 of the family's 2925-position model. The record is from RNAcentral. Lineage: Bacteria; Pseudomonadati; Pseudomonadota; Gammaproteobacteria; Enterobacterales; Enterobacteriaceae.
GUACACAAAAAUGCACAUAUUGUGAGCUCGAUGAGUAGGGCGGGACACGUGGUAUCCUGUCUGAAUAUGGGGGGACCAUCCUCCAAGGCUAAAUACUCCUGACUGACCGAUAGUGAACCAGUACCGUGAGGGAAAGGCGAAAAGAACCCCGGCGAGGGGAGUGAAAAAGAACCUGAAACCGUGUACGUACAAGCAGUGGGAGCCUCUUUAUGGGGUGACUGCGUACCUUUUGUAUAAUGGGUCAGCGACUUAUAUUCUGUAGCAAGGUUAACCGAAUAGGGGAGCCGAAGGGAAACCGAGUCUUAACUGGGCGUUAAGUUGCAGGGUAUAGACCCGAAACCCGGUGAUCUAGCCAUGGGCAGGUUGAAGGUUGGGUAACACUAACUGGAGGACCGAACCGACUAAUGUUGAAAAAUUAGCGGAUGACUUGUGGCUGGGGGUGAAAGGCCAAUCAAACCGGGAGAUAGCUGGUUCUCCCCGAAAGCUAUUUAGGUAGCGCCUCGUGAAUUCAUCUCCGGGGGUAGAGCACUGUUUCGGCAAGGGGGUCAUCCCGACUUACCAACCCGAUGCAAACUGCGAAUACCGGAGAAUGUUAUCACGGGAGACACACGGCGGGUGCUAACGUCCGUCGUGAAGAGGGAAACAACCCAGACCGCCAGCUAAGGUCCCAAAGUCAUGGUUAAGUGGGAAACGAUGUGGGAAGGCCCAGACAGCCAGGAUGUUGGCUUAGAAGCAGCCAUCAUUUAAAGAAAGCGUAAUAGCUCACUGGUCGAGUCGGCCUGCGCGGAAGAUGUAACGGGGCUAAACCAUGCACCGAAGCUGCGGCAGCGACACUAUGUGUUGUUGGGUAGGGGAGCGUUCUGUAAGCCUGUGAAGGUGGCCUGUGAGGGUUGCUGGAGGUAUCAGAAGUGCGAAUGCUGACAUAAGUAACGAUAAAGCGGGUGAAAAGCCCGCUCGCCGGAAGACCAAGGGUUCCUGUCCAACGUUAAUCGGGGCAGGGUGAGUCGACCCCUAAGGCGAGGCCGAAAGGCGUAGUCGAUGGGAAACAGGUUAAUAUUCCUGUACUUGGUGUUACUGCGAAGGGGGGACGGAGAAGGCUAUGUUGGCCGGGCGACGGUUGUCCCGGUUUAAGCGUGUAGGCUGGUUUUCCAGGCAAAUCCGGAAAACCAAGGCUGAGGCGUGAUGACGAGGCACUACGGUGCUGAAGCGACAAAUGCCCUGCUUCCAGGAAAAGCCUCUAAGCAUCAGGUAACAUCAAAUCGUACCCCAAACCGACACAGGUGGUCAGGUAGAGAAUACCAAGGCGCUUGAGAGAACUCGGGUGAAGGAACUAGGCAAAAUGGUGCCGUAACUUCGGGAGAAGGCACGCUGAUAUGUAGGUGAAGCGACUUGCUCGUGGAGCUGAAAUCAGUCGAAGAUACCAGCUGGCUGCAACUGUUUAUUAAAAACACAGCACUGUGCAAACACGAAAGUGGACGUAUACGGUGUGACGCCUGCCCGGUGCCGGAAG